Molecule: ribosomal RNA, 383 nt
Filed under: uncultured eukaryote
Lineage: Eukaryota
Description: partial 18S ribosomal RNA
Rfam family: Eukaryotic small subunit ribosomal RNA
Source: RNAcentral
CAAUAGCGUAUAUUAAAGUUGUUGCGGUUAAAAAGCUCGUAGUUGGAUCUCGGCAGGCAGGGGGUGGUUCGCUCUUAGCGCUACUGCCCCAUUUGCCUGUGUGAUUGGCGGAGGUUUCGGGGUGCUCUUCGUUGAGUGACCCGGGGCGCCGUCAGGUUUACUUUGAAAAAAUUAGAGUGCUCAAAGCAGGCUUUUCACACUUGAAUAUUCGUGCAUGGAAUAAUGGAAUAGGAACUCGUUUCUAUUUUGUUGGUUUUCGGAAAUCGAGUUAAUGAUUAAUAGGGACAAUUGGGGGCAUUAGUAUUCAGACGACAGAGGUGAAAUUCUUGGACCGUCUGAAGACUAACUACUGCGAAAGCAUUUGCCAAGAGUGUUUUCAUUAA